UAUCCAGACUCCUACGGGAGGCAGCAGUGAGGAAUAUUGGUCAAUGGGCGCGAGCCUGAACCAGCCAAGUAGCGUGAAGGAUGACUGCCCUACGGGUUGUAAACUUCUUUUAUAAAGGAAUAAAGUGAGGCACGUGUGCCUUUUUGUAUGUACUUUAUGAAUAAGGAUCGGCUAACUCCGUGCCAGCAGCCGCGGUAAUACGGAGGAUCCGAGCGUUAUCCGGAUUUAUUGGGUUUAAAGGGAGCGUAGGCCGGUCUUUAAGCGUGCCGUGAAAUUUUGUGGCUCAACCAUGAGAGUGCGGCGCGAACUGGAGACCUUGAGUGCGCGGAAGGCAGGCGGAAUUCGUGGUGUAGCGGUGAAAUGCUUAGAUAUCACGCAGAACCCCGAUUGCGAAGGCAGCCUUCCGGCGCCCUACUGACGCUGAGGCACGAAAGUGCGGGGAUCGAACAGGAUUAGAUACCCGAGUACAG
RNAcentral lists this ribosomal RNA (470 nucleotides) under uncultured bacterium. RNAcentral describes it as "bacterial SSU rRNA". It matches the Rfam family "Bacterial small subunit ribosomal RNA", at positions 328 to 793 of the family's 1533-position model. The record is from RNAcentral.